GUGUGCUUUAGGACUUGAGCCUGA
Molecule: non-coding RNA, 24 nt
Filed under: Cricetulus griseus (Chinese hamster)
Lineage: Eukaryota; Metazoa; Chordata; Mammalia; Rodentia; Cricetidae
Source: RNAcentral